UACGGAGGGUGCAAGCGUUAUCCGGAUUCACUGGGUUUAAAGGGUGCGUAGGCGGCUUAAUAAGUCAUUGGUGAAAGCUCGCAGCUCAACUGCGAAACUGCCAUUGAAACUGUUUAGCUUGAAUGUGGUUGAAGUGGGCGGAAUACAACAUGUAGCGGUGAAAUGCUUAGAUAUGUUUUAGAACACCGAUUGCGAAGGCAGCUCACUAAGCCAAUAUUGACGCUGAGGCACGAAAGCGUGGGGAUCAAACAGG
Molecule: ribosomal RNA, 253 nt
Filed under: uncultured prokaryote
Description: partial 16S ribosomal RNA
Rfam family: Bacterial small subunit ribosomal RNA
Source: RNAcentral